GUAGGUGGCAAGCGUUGUCCGGAAUUAUUGGGCGUAAAGCGCGCGCAGGCGGUUCUUUAAGUCUGAUGUGAAAGCCCACGGCUCAACCGUGGUGGGUCAUUGGAAACUGGAGAACUUGAGUACAGAAGAGGAAAGCGGAAUUCCACGUGUAGCGGUGAAAUGCGUAGAGAUGUGGAGGAACACCAGUGGCGAAGGCGGCUUUCUGGUCUGUAACUGACGCUGAGGCGCGAAAGCGUGGGGAGCAAACAGGAUUAGAUACCCUGGUAGUCCACGCCGUAAACGAUGAGUGCUAAGUGUUAGGGGGUUUCCGCCCCCCUUAGUGCUGCAGCUAACGCAUUAAGCACUCCGCCUGGGAGUACGGCCGCAAGGCUG
This 372-nucleotide ribosomal RNA is filed under the name uncultured organism. RNAcentral describes it as "partial 16S ribosomal RNA". It matches the Rfam family "Bacterial small subunit ribosomal RNA", at positions 527 to 896 of the family's 1533-position model. The record is from RNAcentral.